GGGGAUAUGGCGGAACUGGUAGACGCAACGGACUUAAAAUCCGUUGAUUCUUUGAAUCGUGAGGGUUCAAAUCCCUCUAUCCCCA
This 85-nucleotide transfer RNA is filed under the name Koshicola spirodelophila. RNAcentral describes it as "tRNA-Leu". It matches the Rfam family "tRNA". Rfam says of the family: Transfer RNA (tRNA) molecules are approximately 80 nucleotides in length. Their secondary structure includes four short double-helical elements and three loops (D, anti-codon, and T loops). The record is from RNAcentral. Lineage: Eukaryota; Viridiplantae; Chlorophyta; Chlorophyceae; Chaetopeltidales; Chaetopeltidaceae.